This is a long non-coding RNA of Oncorhynchus tshawytscha (Chinook salmon), 735 nucleotides long. NCBI's taxonomy places the organism in Eukaryota, Metazoa, Chordata, Actinopteri, Salmoniformes, Salmonidae. The record is from Ensembl.
GUGGGGUUGUAGAUUCCUAGUGUCCCUUAUGGCUCUAAUAUGAUAAUGGCAGUAGGGUGGUGGAUGUCUAGUGUCCAUUAUGGCUCUAAUAUGAUAAUGGCAGUAGGGUGGUGGAUGUCUAGUGUCCCUUAUGGCUCUAAUCUGACAGUGGUAGUAGGGUGGUAGAUUCCUAGUGUCCCUUAUGGCUCUAAUCUGAUAGUGGUAGUGGGGGGUGGCAGAUUCCUAGUGUCCCUUAUGGCUCUAAUCUGAUAGUGGUAGUGGGGUGGUAGAUUCCUAGUGUCCCUUAUGGCUCUAAUAUGAUAAUGGUAGUAGGGUGGUGGAUGUCUAGUGUCCCUUAUGGCUCUAAUAUGAUAAUGGUAGUAGGGUGGUGGAUGUCUAGUGUCCCUUAUGGCUCUAAUCUGAUAGUGGUAGUAGGGUGGUAGAUGUCUAGUGUCCCUUAUGGCUCUAAUCUGAUAGUGGUAGUGGGGUGGUAGAUUCCUAGGGUCCCUUAUGGCUCUAAUAGGAUAGUGGUAGUGCGGGGUGGUAGAUUCCUAGUGUACCUUAUGGCUCUAAUCUGAUAGUGGUAGUGGGGUGGUAGAUUCCUAGUGUCCCUUAUGGCUCUAAUCUGAUAGUGGUAGUGGGGUGGUAGAUCACGAGUGUCCCCUAUGGCUCUAAUAUGAUAGUGGAUGUAGGGUGGUGGAUGUCUAGUGUCCCUUAUGGCUCUAAUAUGAUAAUGGUAGUGGGGUGGUAGAUUCU